Molecule: ribosomal RNA, 484 nt
Filed under: uncultured bacterium
Lineage: Bacteria
Description: partial 16S ribosomal RNA
Rfam family: Bacterial small subunit ribosomal RNA
Source: RNAcentral
GAUUAACGCUAGCGGCAGGCAUAAUACAUGCAAGUUGAACGGCAGCACAGGUAGCAAUACUGGGUGGCGAGUGGCGCACGGGUGCGUAACACGUAUGCAACCUACCCUAUACAGGCGAAUAACCUUUAGAAAUGAGGGCUAAUACGCCGUAGUAUUACAGCUGGGCAUCUAUUUGUAAUUAAAGAUUUAUCGGUAUAGGAUGGGCAUGCGUCCCAUUAGUUAGUUGGUAAGGUAACGGCUUACCAAGACGAUGAUGGGUAGGGGAUCUGAGAGGACUUACCCCCACACUGGUACUGAGACACGGACCAGACUCCUACGGGAGGCAGCAGUAAGGAAUAUUGGGCAAUGGCCGCGAGGCUGACCCAGCCAGGCCGCGUGCAGGAAGACGGCCUUAUGGGUUGUAAACUGCUUUUAUACGGGAAUAAUAGAGUGUACGCGUACAUUUAUGCAAGUAUCGUAUGAAUAAGCAUCGGCUAACUCCGUG